UACGUAGGUGACAAGCGUUGUCCGGAUUUACUGGGCGUAAAGAGCGCGCAGGCGGUCGUUCAAGUCGAGUGUGAAAGCCCCCGGCUCAACUGGGGAGGGUCAUUCGAUACUGAUCGACUCGAAGGCAGGAGAGGGUAGUGGAAUUCCCGGUGUAGUGGUGAAAUGCGUAGAUAUCUGGAGGAACACCGAAGGCGAAGGCAGUGUCCUGGCGAGUGACUGACGCUGAGGUGCGAAAGCCAGGGGAGCGAACGGG
Molecule: ribosomal RNA, 253 nt
Filed under: uncultured bacterium
Lineage: Bacteria
Description: partial 16S ribosomal RNA
Rfam family: Bacterial small subunit ribosomal RNA
Source: RNAcentral